Molecule: ribosomal RNA, 232 nt
Filed under: uncultured bacterium
Lineage: Bacteria
Description: partial 16S ribosomal RNA
Rfam family: Bacterial small subunit ribosomal RNA
Source: RNAcentral
ACUGAGAAUUACUGGGGGUAAAGCGUGCGUAGGUGGUUCGUUAAGUCUGAUGUGAAAGCCCUGGGCUCAACCUGGGAAUGGCACUGGAUACUGGCGGGCUAGAGUGCGGUAGAGGAUGGCGGAAUUCCCGGUGUAGCAGUGAAGUGCGUAGAGAUCGGGAGGAACAUCCGUGGCGAAGGCGGCCAUCUGGACCAGCACUGACACUGAGGCACGAAAGCGUGGGGAGCAAACA